This 496-nucleotide ribosomal RNA is filed under the name Niphargus sp. ND695. RNAcentral's name for it is "partial large subunit ribosomal RNA". The record is from RNAcentral. Lineage: Eukaryota; Metazoa; Arthropoda; Malacostraca; Amphipoda; Niphargidae.
GUUCCAUUUGCAUGGACCAUUAAUUGGCAAAGCCAAUCGAGGGUGCCAGGACCGGUCAAGGAACAAAGUCCCCAUUCCCUUUCGCCAGACAUAGAACCAGACGCAGGGAGCUAAUAAUGCAAGAGCAAACACUCACGCUCACCCACUCCGUUUCUCUCUCUCUCUCUCUUGUUUUAUGCUUUUUGUUUAUCCACUUGCCAGAGUACACCAACGCUUAUGAGCGUAACCAGACCAGCGUGCACGCACGCGCACACACACUCACUAAUUUUUAUAGUGAUCAUUGUGUGUGUGCUUAACUAUUCCGUAACCAGAUCAGACCGCGCACASACACACACUCACACGUAUAGUGAUCAUAGUGUGUGUGUGCUUGUAUUCCUUGCCAGACACCUUAUAGUCAGAGAGACUUUGAGUUAUAGAGAGAGAGAGCAAUACGAGAGCUUUGCUUUGGGGGUGUAAGUGCAGCACAUGUAGUGCCCCUUUGUCGGGAUGUCACUGC